GACGAACGUUGGCGGCGUGCUUAAUACAUGCAAGUCAACUGAAGCAGUGGUAGCAAUAUCGCUGUGGAGGUGGCGCACGGGUGAGUAACAUGUAGGUAAUCUGCCUUCAGGUCUGGCAUAACUCCGGGAAACCGGGGCUAAUAGCAGAUGAUGCAGCGGCUCGACAUCGAGACAGUUGUUAAAGCUAUGGCGCCUGAAGAUGAGCCUGCGUCUGAUUAGCUAGUUGGCGGGGUAACGGCCCACCAAGGCAACGAUCAGUAGCUGGUCUGAGAGGAUGAUCAGCCACACUGGAACUGAGACACGGUCCAGACUCCUACGGGAGGCAGCAGUAAGGAAUAUUGCUCAAUGGGAGAAAUCCUGAAGCAGCAACGCCGCGUGAGGGACGAAGGGCUUUUGCUUGUAAACUUCUGUAGUGAGAGAAAAAAAUCCCAAUCUUUGGGACAUGAUGGUAUCUCAAAAGUAAGCCCCGGCUAACUACGUG
Molecule: ribosomal RNA, 481 nt
Filed under: uncultured bacterium
Lineage: Bacteria
Description: partial 16S ribosomal RNA
Rfam family: Bacterial small subunit ribosomal RNA
Source: RNAcentral